This 449-nucleotide ribosomal RNA is filed under the name uncultured bacterium. RNAcentral's name for it is "partial 16S ribosomal RNA". It matches the Rfam family "Bacterial small subunit ribosomal RNA", at positions 29 to 523 of the family's 1533-position model. The record is from RNAcentral.
AGCGGACGCUGGCGGCAGGCCUAACACAUGCAAGUCGAACGAACUCUUCGGAGUUAGUGGCGGACGGGUGAGUAACACGUGGGAACGUGCCUUUAGGUUCGGAAUAACUCAGGGAAACUUGUGCUAAUACCGAAUGUGCCCUUCGGGGGAAAGAUUUAUCGCCUUUAGAGCGGCCCGCGUCUGAUUAGCUAGUUGGUGAGGUAAAGGCUCACCAAGGCGACGAUCAGUAGCUGGUCUGAGAGGAUGAUCAGCCACAUUGGGACUGAGACACGGCCCGAACUCCUACGGGAGGCAGCAGUGGGGAAUCUUGCGCAAUGGGCGAAAGCCUGACGCAGCCAUGCCGCGUGAAUGAUGAAGGUCUUAGGAUUGUAAAAUUCUUUCACCGGGGACGAUAAUGACGGUACCCGGAGUAGAAGCCCCGGCUAACUUCGUGCCAGCCGCCGCGGUAA